This is a long non-coding RNA of Homo sapiens (human), 1682 nucleotides long. RefSeq lists it as uncharacterized. The transcript is spliced from 3 exons. The record is from RefSeq and is a predicted model, not a curated record. NCBI's taxonomy places the organism in Eukaryota, Metazoa, Chordata, Mammalia, Primates, Hominidae.
CUAGGAUUAGAGACGUGAGCCACCGUAUCCUGCCUAAAAAGUAGUUCUGAUUGGCAGAACUUUGCAUAACAAAUGUUUCCUUCUUUACUUCCUGGGAUUCUCACAGUUCUUUGCACUUUCAACCUUAGAGUAGGAUAACAUCUGAUCAAUUUAAUUGUUGAUGAUCCAGAACAUCUCCCAGUAAAAAUUCUUUUUGCUUUGAGCAAAGGAUGAAUAAAUUUGGGAAGGAUUGAAAGUAUCCCUUAAAAGGUGGCUGCACAAUGGCAAAGCAAACAACUGGAAAUUGAAAACUGGUUAUUUGCUUUAUUUUAGGUGAAAAAAAAGGGAAAAAUCUCAUAAACUCAUUAUUUUAGUUUUUAAAAUGAACAAAAUGAAUUACUUGUUGAGAUACAUACCAAACCUAGAUUGCAAAUGCAUGUCUUAUGGACAAAUUAUUCUUACUUUAUACCUCAGAAAAAUAGUUUCAUAUCCAUUUUUUCCUGGUGCAAAUAGAUGAGUUCUUGCUAUUUGCAUCAUUUGGAAAACAAAACCAUCAGAAUUACAUUCUUUUUUUGCUCCCCAAGGACAUAGUUUUAUCAUUAAAUUUAGGAAGUAGAUAAAUGCUGAAAUAACAUAAACAGAUUCCACUGUAUAUAAAUAAGCCAAUUUAAAGUAAUUUAGUAAGGGAAAAGUUCUAUUGCUUUCUUAAUUUUUUGUCUGAACACUUUGCUUCAUUGUAACAUGUACUGGGCCUGCAUGUUUUAAUGUUCUUUUUUCUCUUUACAUCCCCCUUUGGGGUUUCAGUCCACUAAAUUCAAAAAUAAUUGCCUUUCGGGGAUUUAUUGGUAUUUAAAAGCGGAUCCCAACAUCUUACAAAUUGCAGUUGUAGCCUGUGUAAGGUGAUGGUCAAUAAAUAAGGGAGAAUAAGAACACUAAAGCUAGAUUGUGAGAGAAGAAAAGGAAAAAAGCUUACUACAUUCUUUCUAAACAAACAAAAAAGGCAUAAUUGGAAAAAUUCAUUUUUAUGUUUCCUUACAUUAGAUGGGACCACUGAGUGAAACAUUCACUGAUGAAUUACUCCUGUAAUCUGUGUAGGAAAAACAGCUACUGGCAAAUUAAAGAGUCCUGGAACAGAGCCAUGAGAACUAAAUGGCUAAAAAUGAAAACAGGCAAACAUUUGAGAGUAUUCUACAGAAUACAGAUCUUUCAGCACCUCCCCCUUUUCACUGGUUAAUUCAUCGUCAUGGAAACAGAAUUUAUCAAAAUGUUCUUGCUCACUCCUAGUGACCCAGUGAGUAGACUUAGAGAGCUGGUGAAAGGUAACUCAGGCUGAAGCAAUUUUUACAAAUGAUAUGCUGCAGUUCAUACAUUGGUGAAUUUUGAAUGGUGCCAUUGUGUCGAUUGAACAUGUUUCCAAAUCUCAAAGGGUUCACUUUUUUGUUUGUUUUUUAAAAAGCUGCCAGGCAGAGAAACGAGAAACCUUUGCAAGUGAGUGAGCACAGAAACAUGCUUAAGUGAAACUCAGUGGAGGACAUGAGUACACUUACAGACCAAAGACGCCUAUCCCUCCUGUGCUUGGGCAUGAAAUUUCCAGAAUCAGAAGAAAAGAAUCUCUUACAGCAUUUAGCAGAGGAGAACAUUGGUAUAUGGAAUGGCGAGUUUAUGUUUUUAAACAGUGCCUAGCAUAGUACCUGAUACAUGGU